Xylaria curta is the source of this 106-nucleotide non-coding RNA. NCBI's taxonomy places the organism in Eukaryota, Fungi, Ascomycota, Sordariomycetes, Xylariales, Xylariaceae. The record is from the annotation of a GenBank genome assembly.
GCCCGCUUGGCUAAGUGGUAUAGCGUGUCACCAGUAGACAAGUUCAUGAAGGACCUUCCCACUAGAUGCCAUGACAAGAUCAGCGGUUCGAUUCUGCUAGUGGGCA